UCAGAAGUGCGAAUGCUGACAUAAGUAACGAUAAAGCGGGUGAAAAGCCCGCUCGCCGGAAGACCAAGGGUUCCUGUCCAACGUUAAUCGGGGCAGGGUGAGUCGACCCCUAAGGCGAGGCCGAAAGGCGUAGUCGAUGGGAAACGGGUUAAUAUUCCCGUACUUGGUGUUACUGCGAAGGGGGGACGGAGAAGGCUAUGUUGGCCGGGCGACGGUUGUCCCGGUUUAAGCGUGUAGGUGUGUGUUCCAGGUAAAUCCGGUUCACUUUAACACUGAGGCGUGAUGACGAGGCACCACGGUGCUGAAGCAACAAAUGCCCUGCUUCCAGGAAAAGCCUCUAAGCAUCAGGUAACAUCAAAUCGUACCCCAAACCGACACAGGUGGUCAGGUAGAGAAUACCAAGGCGCUUGAGAGAACUCGGGUGAAGGAACUAGGCAAAAUGGUGCCGUAACUUCGGGAGAAGGCACGCUGACACGUAGGUGAAGUGAUUUACUCAUGGAGCUGAAGUCAGUCGAAGAUACCAGCUGGCUGCAACUGUUUAUUAAAAACACAGCACUGUGCAAACACGAAAGUGGACGUAUACGGUGUGACGCCUGCCCGGUGCCGGAAGGUUAAUUGAUGGGGUCAGCGCAAGCGAAGCUCCUGAUCGAAGCCCCGGUAAACGGCGGCCGUAACUAUAACGGUCCUAAGGUAGCGAAAUUCCUUGUCGGGUAAGUUCCGACCUGCACGAAUGGCGUAAUGAUGGCCAGGCUGUCUCCACCCGAGACUCAGUGAAAUUGAACUCGCUGUGAAGAUGCAGUGUACCCGCGGCAAGACGGAAAGACCCCGUGAACCUUUACUAUAGCUUGACACUGAACAUUGAGCCUUGAUGUGUAGGAUAGGUGGGAGGCUUUGAAGCGUGGACGCCAGUCUGCGUGGAGCCGACCUUGAAAUACCACCCUUUAAUGUUUGAUGUUCUAACGUGGACCCGUAAUCCGGGUUGCGGACAGUGUCUGGUGGGUAGUUUGACUGGGGCGGUCUCCUCCUAAAGAGUAACGGAGGAGCACGAAGGUUGGCUAAUCCUGGUCGGACAUCAGGAGGUUAGUGCAAUGGCAUAAGCCAGCUUGACUGCGAGCGUGACGGCGCGAGCAGGUGCGAAAGCAGGUCAUAGUGAUCCGGUGGUUCUGAAUGGAAGGGCCAUCGCUCAACGGAUAAAAGGUACUCCGGGGAUAACAGGCUGAUACCGCCCAAGAGUUCAUAUCGACGGCGGUGUUUGGCACCUCGAUGUCGGCUCAUCACAUCCUGGGGCUGAAGUAGGUCCCAAGGGUAUGGCUGUUCGCCAUUUAAAGUGGUACGCGAGCUGGGUUUAGAACGUCGUGAGACAGUUCGGUCCCUAUCUGCCGUGGGCGCUGGAAGACUGAGGGGGGCUGCUCCUAGUACGAGAGGACCGGAGUGGACGCAUCACUGGUGUUCGGGUUGUCAUGCCAAUGGCACUGCCCGGUAGCUAAAUGCGGAAAAGAUAAGUGCUGAAAGCAUCUAAGCACGAAACUUGCCCCGAGAUGAGUCUUCCCUGAGACCUUGAGUCUCCUGAAGGAACGUUAAAGACGAUGACGUUGAUAGGCCGGGUGUGUAAGCG
RNAcentral lists this ribosomal RNA (1615 nucleotides) under Salmonella enterica subsp. diarizonae. RNAcentral describes it as "partial 23S ribosomal RNA". It matches the Rfam family "Bacterial large subunit ribosomal RNA", at positions 1282 to 2875 of the family's 2925-position model. The record is from RNAcentral. Lineage: Bacteria; Pseudomonadati; Pseudomonadota; Gammaproteobacteria; Enterobacterales; Enterobacteriaceae.